GCGGGCGUGGUGGAACGGUAGACACACGGGACUUAAAAUCCCCUGGGCUUUGCCCGUGCGGGUUCGACUCCCGCCGCCCGCA
Molecule: transfer RNA, 82 nt
Filed under: Jannaschia sp. W003
Lineage: Bacteria; Pseudomonadati; Pseudomonadota; Alphaproteobacteria; Rhodobacterales; Roseobacteraceae
Description: tRNA-Leu
Rfam family: tRNA
About the family: Transfer RNA (tRNA) molecules are approximately 80 nucleotides in length. Their secondary structure includes four short double-helical elements and three loops (D, anti-codon, and T loops).
Source: RNAcentral